This 98-nucleotide transfer RNA is filed under the name Penicillium steckii. It matches the Rfam family "tRNA". Rfam says of the family: Transfer RNA (tRNA) molecules are approximately 80 nucleotides in length. Their secondary structure includes four short double-helical elements and three loops (D, anti-codon, and T loops). Lineage: Eukaryota; Fungi; Ascomycota; Eurotiomycetes; Eurotiales; Aspergillaceae. The record is from Rfam by way of RNAcentral.
GGGGACAUGGCGUAGUUGGGAACGCGUUCGACUGAAGUCCACUUCAAUCAUCACUUUGUGAAAUCGAGAGAUCGCCGGUUCGAUCCCGGCUGGCCCCA